UCUAUAUACGCUUCUACGUGAAAGACUCAUUCAUGCCCAUUGCUCAUUUUCUGACAGAGAUUGGUGUCUGGUGUUUUUACUAUUGAGUUUGGAAAGUUCUUUAUAUAUUCUAGAUACUAGUCCUAUGUUGGAUACGUGGUUCCAAAUAUUCGUCCAAGUCUGAAGUUUAUCUUUUCAUACUCUUCACAUGGUCCUUCCUGGUGUGAUCAGAAGGACACCUUGGAGUUGUUAUCGGGAUUCUGAACCAGAUUGGAACCUUUGAAGUGCUAUUUGGGUUCAGAAGUAUGACCAAUGAUCAAGGUCUACAAAGACCCAGUCAAAUAGUACAAGGCAACAGGGGCUAAUUUGUAUCGACAAACUGAGGAAGCUGAUGCCACCAAAGUUGUACAUUCCCGGCUAAACACCUAAGGAUGAUCCCUCCGCGUCUAAUUUGUUAUCUCUCUGAUGGUGGAUGAAGCGAUGAAAAUUCCUAAUUCCUUCUUUGGUCAUCUUAGCUGCUAAUCUACAAUGACUUCAGUAGUUAAGGGUUGAGAGUCAUCGUUUCAUUAAAAGAUAAUAUUAUUCUCUUUA
Molecule: long non-coding RNA, 570 nt
Organism: Herpailurus yagouaroundi (jaguarundi)
Lineage: Eukaryota; Metazoa; Chordata; Mammalia; Carnivora; Felidae
Exons: 2
Source: RefSeq, a predicted model, not a curated record